Long non-coding RNA from Bos taurus (domestic cattle), 1774 nucleotides. NCBI's taxonomy places the organism in Eukaryota, Metazoa, Chordata, Mammalia, Artiodactyla, Bovidae. The record is from Ensembl.
ACCUGUGAGUGGCUGCAGGAAAGAAGAAAUUAGCACACUCCCUCAGGAGUCUGCCCAGAACCAGAAAUGUUUUCGUUGACCCCCUCCACUUUUAGUAUAAAAGAAGCCUGAAUUCUAACUGAGGGUUCUUUGGGAUGCUACCAUCUUCUCCGUCUUGCUGGCUAUCUAAAUAAAGUUGCUGUUCCUUACUCCAGCAACUUGUCUCUGGAGUUUUUGGCCUGUCCUGCAGCAACAUUACAAGCUUGAACUCAGCAACACUGCCACCUGUCAGAAAGUGUAGCCAAGCAGGAUCCUAUGGGGACUUCCCAGAAGAGCCCCUGAUCUAGGUCCUCUGCGUGCCUCUUGUCUGUGGAAAAACUGUGGCCUCCUGGGCUUCCCUGAGGUCCAAAGAGUACAUUUACUCAGAGAGAGACUGAAACCCCCACCAGGAGGAAGAAGUUAACUCUGUGCCGCCCACAAGCACGUAGCCCCAGUCGGGUCGGAACCAGAAGGUUGAUGACAUUGACUCCUGAUGACAUUGACAACUGAUCAGAAGGAUGUCCACGAGCUGAUCACACACCCCAGAAUCCCCCUCCCUUAUCCUGUCUUUAAAAACCUUCUCCUGAGAGCCUUCAGGGAGUUUGGGCCUUUAAAACACUAGCUGCCCUUUAAAACACUAACUCCUUACUUGGUUCCCUGCAGUAAACACUGCACUUUCCUUCACCAGAACCCAGUGUAAGUAGAUUGGCUUGCCUGCACGUGGGAAAGCAGACCCAAAUUUGGUUCAGUAACAGCAGCACUAGUGUUUAUUAAUAUUUCUGCCAUAAAAACAUUAUUCACAUAAGCCAGAAUCUAGCCCACCUCCUGUUUUUAUAAAUAAAGUUUUAUUGAAACACAGUCCUGCAUAUUUGUUUACAAUUGCCCUUGGCUGCUCUGGACACUGCAGAGGCAGAAUUGAGUAACUGUGACAGAGAUUAUUUGGCCCCUUUCACUGAAAAUAUUUACUGUCCUUGCCCUUUACAGAAGUUGCCAGCCCCUUCUCCAGAGCAGUGUCACAGUGCAAGCUGACAAUCAUUGGUAAAAACUGGUUCUCAAAAUGUGGUCCUUGGACUGGCGGCAUCAGUAUCACCUGGGAAUGUGUUAGGAAUGCAAAUUCUUGGGCCCCACCCUAUACCUACUGAAUUAGAAAUGCUAGAGGUGGGGCCCAAGAAUGUGUUUUUACCAGUCUCCCAGGUGAUGCUCCCAGGUGAGCAUGUUUAGAAGAUGCAAGCUCAUGUUGAAAAUCACAGAUCUAAAACAGCCAUGGAGAAAAUGCCAGUAAGUGACUGGCAGAGAAAGGUGUCAGUGGGCUCCCAGGGCAACAGAAGAGUUGAAAAGAUGUCAGGAGAGUGAUGGCCCAUCCGCUGCCUGGUCCCUCUGCAGCAAAGCCUUUGACGGCCCUUGGACCAGGCCAUGCCAGCCGGGAGGGGACCUCUCACCAGCCACCUGUGCCAAUGCCCAGGCCCCGUGCCUGGCGGCCCCGCCCUCCCACAGGCUUGUCAGCGCAUUUGGGGCUGUCUCCACGCACAAAUUCAUGGACCAGCUGUCUCUUUUAAUCUGGUUUCAAGAUGAAACCAUUAAUAGAUGUCAGACACAUUGGCAAUGAUCUCUUCAUUAAUAAUUUCCUCCUUUCUGAGAAAAAAAAUUAGUAACAAGCAAUCAUCAAUAAUUCAAAAAUACAAGUUAACCUUUCUAUUAGCAGAGUGGUUCUGCACACACCACAGACUCUUUCAGAGCCAAUAGUUCUGGUUUAAAU